AUCAUCUAGGGAUCUUGUUAAAAUGUGGAUCCUGAUUCAGCAAGUUCAUGGUCGGCCUAAGAUUCUGCAUUUCUAACAAACUCUCAAGUGAUGCUGA
RNAcentral lists this microRNA precursor (97 nucleotides) under Ictidomys tridecemlineatus (thirteen-lined ground squirrel). Its description in RNAcentral is "Spermophilus tridecemlineatus (thirteen-lined ground squirrel) mir-544 microRNA precursor family". It matches the Rfam family "mir-544 microRNA precursor family". The record is from Rfam by way of RNAcentral. Lineage: Eukaryota; Metazoa; Chordata; Mammalia; Rodentia; Sciuridae.